RNAcentral lists this transfer RNA (76 nucleotides) under Patescibacteria group bacterium. RNAcentral's name for it is "tRNA-Arg". It matches the Rfam family "tRNA". From Rfam's summary of the family: Transfer RNA (tRNA) molecules are approximately 80 nucleotides in length. Their secondary structure includes four short double-helical elements and three loops (D, anti-codon, and T loops). The record is from RNAcentral.
GUCCUCGUAGCUCAGUGGAUAGAGCAACGCACUCCUAACGCGUAGGUCGCGCGUUCGACUCGCGCCGAGGACACCA